RNAcentral lists this transfer RNA (75 nucleotides) under Micromonospora matsumotoense. RNAcentral describes it as "tRNA_Gln_TTG". It matches the Rfam family "tRNA". Rfam says of the family: Transfer RNA (tRNA) molecules are approximately 80 nucleotides in length. Their secondary structure includes four short double-helical elements and three loops (D, anti-codon, and T loops). Further hydrogen bonds mediate the characteristic L-shaped molecular structure. tRNAs have two regions of fundamental functional importance: the anti-codon, which is responsible for specific mRNA codon recognition, and the 3' end, to which the tRNAs corresponding amino acid is attached (by aminoacyl-tRNA synthetases). tRNAs cope with the degeneracy of the genetic code in two manners: having more than one tRNA (with a specific anti-codon) for a particular amino acid; and 'wobble' base-pairing, i.e. permitting non-standard base-pairing at the 3rd anti-codon position. RNAcentral also lists the same sequence under 3 other names. Lineage: Bacteria; Bacillati; Actinomycetota; Actinomycetes; Micromonosporales; Micromonosporaceae. The record is from RNAcentral.
UCGGCCGUGGUGUAAUUGGCAACACCCGGGUCUUUGGUACCCGUGUUUCAGGUUCGAACCCUGGCGGCCGAGCCG